AGCGUAGCGGUCUAACGCAUCUCCGUAUCAAGGAGAUGGUCGCGGGUUCGAAUCCCAC
Molecule: transfer RNA, 58 nt
Filed under: Operophtera brumata (winter moth)
Lineage: Eukaryota; Metazoa; Arthropoda; Insecta; Lepidoptera; Geometridae
Rfam family: tRNA
About the family: Transfer RNA (tRNA) molecules are approximately 80 nucleotides in length. Their secondary structure includes four short double-helical elements and three loops (D, anti-codon, and T loops).
Source: Rfam by way of RNAcentral